UAGAGGAAGUAAAAGUCGUAACAAGGUUUCCGUAGGUGAACCUGCGGAAGGAUCAUUACUGUAAGACCAUAGGGUUUGAGACUACGUCCUUCAUAGGCGUGUGCUCGACUCUUAAUUCUUUCAUCCACAUACACCUAUGUGCACCAUGGGAUCGUAAAAAAAACAUGGUCCCCUUUUACAUACAAAUACCAAGUUAUAUGCAUGUUUGUGUUAUAUACACUCUACGGAGUAAUAUACAACUUUCAACAACGGAUCUCUUGGCUUUCGCAUCGAUGAAGAACGCAGCGAACGUGCGAAACGUAAUGUGAAUUGCAGAAUUCAGUGAAUCAUCGAAUCUUUGAACGCAUCUUGCGCUCCUUGGUAUUCCGAGGAGCAUGCCUGUUUGAGUGUCGUGAAUAAGCUCAAUUUCAAUCUUUUUCGGUUUGAAAUUGGAUUUGGGUGUUGUCGUGUGUGAAUACGACUCGUCCUAAAUGCAUUAGCGAUCUGCCCCGAUCACACGCAAUGUGAUAAGAAAAAGCAUUGUCAUGAUUGGAGUUCGGAUAAGCUUCUAAUCGUCGAAAGACAAAGUAUUUUAUACCAUGUCAUUUGACCUCAAAUCAGGUAGGACUACCCGCUGAACUUAAGCAUAUCAAUAAGCGGAGGAAAAGAAACUAACAAGGAUUCCCCUAGUAACGGCGAGUGAAGAGGGAAAAGCUCAAAUUUGAAAUCUGGCGGCCUACGGUCGUCCGAGUUGUAAUCUAGAGAAGUGUUUUCCGCGCUGGACCGUGUACAAGUCCUUUGGAACAAGGCGUCAUAGAGGGUGAGAAUCCCGUCUACGACACGGACUACCAGUGCUUUGUGAUACACUCUCAACGAGUCGAGUUGUUUGGGAAUGCAGCUCAAAAUGGGUGGUAAAUUCCAUCUAAAGCUAAAUACAGGCGAAAGACCGAUAGCGAACAAGUACCGUGAGGGAAAGAUGAAAAGCACUUUGGAAAGAGAGUUAAACAGUACGUGAAAUUGUUGAAAGGGAAACGCUUGAAGUCAGUCGCGUCUUCAGAAAUUCAGCCUUGCUAUUUUGCCUGGCGUACUUUUCUGUGGGACGGGCCAGCAUCAGUUUCGGUCGCCAGAAAAAGGUGGGAGGAAGGUGACACCUCCGGGUGUGUUAUAGCCUCUCAUCGUAUGUGGCGGCUGGGACUGAGGAAUGCAGCACGCCUUCAUGGCCGGGGUUCGCCCACGUAACGUGCUUAGGAUGCUGGCGUAAUGGCUUUAAGCGACCCGUCUUGAAACACGGACCAAGGAGUCUAACAUGGCUGCGAGUAUUUGGGUGGCAAAACCAUCUGCGGAAUGAAAGUGAACAGUUGGGACUUCUGUCAUGGAAGGCACCGACGCCCGGACCAGAACUACUGUGACGGAUCCGAGGUAGAGCAUGUAUGUUGGGACCCGAAAGAUGGUGAACUAUGCCUGAGUAGGGUGAAGCCAGAGGAAACUCUGGUGGAGGCUCGUAGCGAUUCUGACGUGCAAAUCGAUCGUCGAACUUGGGUAUAGGGGCGAAAGACUAAUCGAACCAUC
This 1548-nucleotide ribosomal RNA is filed under the name Geastrum fornicatum. RNAcentral describes it as "eukaryotic LSU rRNA". The stretch from base 587 to 1548 matches the Rfam family "Eukaryotic large subunit ribosomal RNA", at positions 1 to 944 of the family's 3401-position model. The record is from RNAcentral. Lineage: Eukaryota; Fungi; Basidiomycota; Agaricomycetes; Geastrales; Geastraceae.